RNAcentral lists this transfer RNA (79 nucleotides) under Heterodermia speciosa. RNAcentral describes it as "tRNA-Phe". It matches the Rfam family "tRNA". From Rfam's summary of the family: Transfer RNA (tRNA) molecules are approximately 80 nucleotides in length. Lineage: Eukaryota; Fungi; Ascomycota; Lecanoromycetes; Caliciales; Physciaceae. The record is from RNAcentral.
AAGGAAUUAGCUCAAUGGUAGAGCAAGCGUUUUAGACACAAAAAACGGCCGGUUAAGUGUUCGAUUCAUUUAUUCCUUA